Molecule: long non-coding RNA, 620 nt
Filed under: Bos taurus (domestic cattle)
Lineage: Eukaryota; Metazoa; Chordata; Mammalia; Artiodactyla; Bovidae
Description: long non-coding RNA NONBTAT000642
Source: RNAcentral
GAUUUUUUUCAUCUUAAAAUCCCUUGCCCUGUGAGUAAGUUGAAGUCACAUUAAUUUACUGAAGAAUUUCUGGCUCUCACCAUGCUGUGAGGCAACCAGGCAUCCCUGGGAGUUGCAGGUCUGUCUUGAAGUAGCUUCCCGGUGGAGAGUCACGUGAAAAAGUCAUGGGGGCAGGAUCCUUCAUAUUAAUGAGUACCGGCUGGGGGCUGGAGCUGGGGGUCUGGAGGAGUUCUGUCCCACAGUGGUUGGGUCAGGAUAAGUCAUGGCCUGGCCUUUGAACUGGGCAAAUGUCUCACUGUUACUUCUGUCUCAAAGAGGGUCAGAAUGUAGAGUAAGACCAGUGCUUUUUCAAAAGGAAGAAAAAAAAAUGUAUCAAAGAGCCUGUGUUCUUUUCACUGGGAGGUUGUGACCACUGACCUGACCUUUGCCCAGGUGUUUACAUAUGCCUGUACCUUUGCCACACUCUUCCUCCCAUGAGCUGGAGGAUGCUGGCAGGAAGGUGCGUGCUAAGGAGGGAUUUCCAUGCCGAAGGCGUGUUCAUACCUUUCCCUAUGGCUGAGCAGUAUCUCUACCUUUACACCCUCAAUUAUAACAUUAAUGAAACAUUGCCAUAAAAUAUA